This 282-nucleotide ribosomal RNA is filed under the name uncultured Lachnospiraceae bacterium. RNAcentral describes it as "partial 16S ribosomal RNA". It matches the Rfam family "Bacterial small subunit ribosomal RNA", at positions 59 to 339 of the family's 1533-position model. Lineage: Bacteria; Bacillati; Bacillota; Clostridia; Lachnospirales; Lachnospiraceae. The record is from RNAcentral.
UUAAGUUGAUUUCUUCGGAUUGAUUCUUAACUGACUGAGCGGCGGACGGGUGAGUAACGCGUGGGUGACCUGCCCCAUACCGGGGGAUAACAGCUGGAAACGGCUGCUAAUACCGCAUAAGCGCACAGAGCUGCAUGGCUCGGUGUGAAAAACUCCGGUGGUAUGGGAUGGGCCCGCGUCUGAUUAGGCAGUUGGCGGGGUAACGGCCCACCAAACCGACGAUCAGUAGCCGGCCUGAGAGGGCGACCGGCCACAUUGGGACUGAGACACGGCCCAAACUCC